Molecule: long non-coding RNA, 1420 nt
Organism: Sarcophilus harrisii (Tasmanian devil)
Lineage: Eukaryota; Metazoa; Chordata; Mammalia; Dasyuromorphia; Dasyuridae
Exons: 3
Source: RefSeq, a predicted model, not a curated record
UGCGGCGUGAGGUCAGCGCGUCCGGGCGCGCGCGCCUAUGUUUCUAAUUUUAGCCGCAGCUGGGGCUGCAGAACUUAGGUCGGCUGAGUUAACAGGAGGACGCUCACUGGGUAUGGUCCUUGGAGGAUAUGAUAAGGAAAAGAUAUUGAUCUAAAAAAAUACCAGUGAUAAUAUGGAUAAAGAAACUGGACCUGUAAUUUCAGGGAUCCAAGAAACUUGUGGGUCAGGUAGUUCCCUGUUAUCAGCAUGAUAUCUUCAACUUAAAUAGGAAUGGAUUGAAGGAGAAGGAUGAGAAGAGAAAGAAGGAGCUUAUUUUUUAAAAAAAUUUAAAUUACUGACAGUUUUAUUAGCCAUUUAUUAUUUUUAUUCAUUAUUUAUGUUAUGUUCUAUUUAUAUUAUAUAUCUGUGUUACUAUUAAUACUUAUUAUUAACUAGGAAGAAAUGGAGAAUGGGGAUGUAGGGAUGACAUUGAAAAAGAUGGGGGCUAAAGCAACAAUUAGCCUUUCCAUACCUUAGGGAUAGCCAUUGAUGACCUCAUUAAUUCCUAUGCAGUAUCUACUUGCAUAAGAAAAGGUAUAAGUCCAGAAAGGGUCUUUUUAAAAAAUUUUUACUUGGAGAUAUAGAAUUUAAAUUAAAUUUAAAUAUAUUUUUCCCAGACUAUAAAUAUGAGAGAAUUCUGGAGUUGCUAAACAGAUAAACAGAAGACAGUGGGUUUUUUUUUCCCUCUGAAAGAAAGUUAAAGGGAGAUGAUCUCAGGGUCAGAAGCUAAUGAAUUUAUUAAUAGUCUCAGGCUGCCUAAAUUCUGUAGGAUAGAAUAUAAGCCACUAAAUCUUUAGACACCUUCCUGGAGAGGAGUUUAACUAAUCUUUACCUCUUUACUGCAGUUCUGAAUGCCACUGGGACAGAAGUAACCACUGCAUAUUUAUAAAGGGAUAAUGGGAUCCUAAUCACACAAAGGUGCUUGGUCGUUUUUAUGGGUCCAGCAUUAUUUAACAUAUAAUAUUUGGGGAGGGGAUGAUAAGUAGGGGGAGGAAAGGAGUUGCUAGUAAAACAUACUUAUAGUCAAUAGAAAUCAGAAAAAUAACAUACGAUAAGUGUAAAUGGCUUACAUAAUACUCAUUUAUGAAUUGCUUUAUAUGCUUUCUCAUUUUAAUGCUUUUAAUAAUUGUAUGAAGCAGAUAGCAUGACUUUUAUUGUCCCAAUUUUACAUAUGAGGAAAUUAUGAACUUGUCACAACUCAGUGGAAAAAAUCAUCACAAUCUAAAACUUCAAGAUUCUAAGUUGAAGACAUUGAGAACUAUCAAUGUGUGCAAUAUUCUCAGCUCUGCAAAAUUUUCAUGACAAUAUCUUAUACAUAUGUAAGGUUAUUGUGAAGAUUGAGUUAUCACCCUGGAUACUUUAGAAUCAGCUGGAGCCAGGA